This 76-nucleotide transfer RNA is filed under the name Halomonas cupida. Its description in RNAcentral is "tRNA_Thr_TGT". The stretch from base 8 to 65 matches the Rfam family "tRNA", at positions 8 to 63 of the family's 71-position model. Rfam says of the family: Transfer RNA (tRNA) molecules are approximately 80 nucleotides in length. Their secondary structure includes four short double-helical elements and three loops (D, anti-codon, and T loops). Further hydrogen bonds mediate the characteristic L-shaped molecular structure. tRNAs have two regions of fundamental functional importance: the anti-codon, which is responsible for specific mRNA codon recognition, and the 3' end, to which the tRNAs corresponding amino acid is attached (by aminoacyl-tRNA synthetases). tRNAs cope with the degeneracy of the genetic code in two manners: having more than one tRNA (with a specific anti-codon) for a particular amino acid; and 'wobble' base-pairing, i.e. permitting non-standard base-pairing at the 3rd anti-codon position. Lineage: Bacteria; Pseudomonadati; Pseudomonadota; Gammaproteobacteria; Oceanospirillales; Halomonadaceae. The record is from RNAcentral.
UUCGCGGUAGAUCGGUUGGUAGAGCAACUGACUUGUAAUCAGUAGGUCCCGGGUUCGACUCCUGGUGUCGGCACCA